CGAACGGGUGAGUAACGCGUGAGGAACCUGCCUCAAAGAGGGGGACAACAGUUGGAAACGACUGCUAAUACCGCAUAAGCCCACGGCUCGGCAUCGAGCAGAGGGAAAAGGAGCAAUCCGCUUUGAGAUGGCCUCGCGUCCGAUUAGCUAGUUGGUGAGGUAACGGCCCACCAAGGCGACGAUCGGUAGCCGGACUGGGAGGUUGAACGGCCACAUUGGGACUGAGACACGGUCCAA
Molecule: ribosomal RNA, 237 nt
Filed under: uncultured bacterium
Lineage: Bacteria
Description: partial 16S ribosomal RNA
Rfam family: Bacterial small subunit ribosomal RNA
Source: RNAcentral